Non-coding RNA from Coturnix japonica (Japanese quail), 2141 nucleotides. The record is from RefSeq and is a predicted model, not a curated record. NCBI's taxonomy places the organism in Eukaryota, Metazoa, Chordata, Aves, Galliformes, Phasianidae.
ACGUCUGCUAUGAGGAGAGGCUCUGAGCUGGGGCAGUUCAGCCUGGAGAACAGGAGACUUAAGGGGAUCUCAUCCAUGUAUGUUUCAGGGAAGCAAGAUGGAUCUGUCCAUAUCUGAACCAUGCUGAUUCUUCUUUCCUUAACGUAAGAUGGAUUCCCUGUUCACUGUAUCCUGCAGAGAAAAGAUUUUGCUGUACAAGGUGAAUUUGUGUGAAUUUGUUACCUGAGUGUGACAGCUCUUCAUGGAAUACACCAGGAUGGACAAAAUAAACAAUAUGGAAAUGUGUGAUGCUACAGCCUGAAGGUAUGGCAAGAUUUAAAUGAUGGCAAUUAGUCCAAGAGAGAAAAAUUGAAUUGGGAGAAUAUGAGGUGGAUGGUUUCAAUUCACAGAAUCCCAGAAUUCCAGCAUGGCUUGUGACCAUCUGACAUGCCCUUUGCUCCAGCAGGACCACCCAGAGUAGGGUGCCCAGGCCCACAUCCAGUCAGUCUCUGAAGAUCUCCAAGGAGAAGACCCCUCAGCCUCUCUAUUCUGCUGUGCCAAGAACUUUUUCCUGCACAGUGAAUGAGAAGAUAAAAUGAGACCAAGGACUGCCUAGUCUGAAAUUUGUGUGUGGACUCUCCUCAUCUUUAGCCUUUUCACUAUUUCUGUUCAGUGUGCCAGUGGUUUGAAGAGCUGCAUUUUAGGUCUUUUUUUCAUCCAGUCAGCAGAGUUGGGAUGAACUUGGUGCCAACUGACAAGAUAUCUGAUAUCUAUGGUUCUAUGAGUGACCAAACUGGAUCCUUAUCAAAAUUCUUACUUUGACCAUGUUCAUGGUAGACUGCCAUAAUGCAGUCUUAGAAUUAUGUCUGAAGCCUAUAAAAGUAUUUUUUCAUCUGCUAAUUUAUUAGAGAGGAAAACAAAGGAGGAGUCACAUAUUUUGUGGUGUUGGAGGGGAGUAAGUAAGUCUUACAACAUGGGAGAAACAUGUGCUUGCUGGGUAACAUCUAACUUUCCAUUGAUAGUUUUUAGGUACAAUGACCCGUUAGGUACUUUUUCCUUCUAGCUCUCCAAGAGAGUACUCUCUCCUAGAGCAGUUUCACCGAAGUAAACUCCCUGGAGUACUUCAUUGUUCUAAUAAAAGGCAUACCUUUCUUUCAAACUCUUACUUUCCACUAAGUUUGAUACUUACUAUUACCAGGCAUGACAACGACUUUGCACUUUCCUAAGGUUGAAGAGUAAAACAGGCCGAUUUGAGAAUAGUCUGGGACACAGAGUAGGUAACAAUAGCACGAGAUGACAAUGGUCUCGUUAACUACAUGUGUGCCCUUCAGCAAAAGGUUUUUUAAACACUCAUAAAAGACAAAUCUGAAAACUCAAAAAUGCCCUGGAUGUCUACAGCUGCAGUCUGAUGACUCAAUACUAGCAAUUAAUUCAUGGUUAAAUCUGAUCGAGUCACUUUGUUGUUUUGUUAAAUAAAAUUUCCUUUCCUUUUCAGUAUGUCUACACUGAACAUUUCUUGAAUUACCUGUAAAAUCAACCCGCCUAAUGCUUAAGUGAUAUGAUUCAAAUGAUGUACACUCAAAUGAAAAAUGUGUUCUCUGUUCUGUUCCAUCGCUCAUAUAUUAUUGUUGCUGUGUCUUUACUAGGUGAAUCACUGGCAUUUAUGAGAUUUGGAUUGAGCAUAGUUGAGAAUCCAUAACUAUAAGCCUACUCUGCUAAUGGUUACCAGUUUAAUUCUGGAGAGUAGUCAGACACUCUUCAAAUACUUUUGUCAAGAUUUUAUAAUAUAUUAAGAUUUGUGUACAAUAGAAAACACUCAAAAUGUUAGGAAAAAAAAAUGUAACUUUUUUCCUCUCACUUCUUUAUCUGGAUGUACUAAAUAAAAAGAAAUAAAUCCUUCUACCUGAGAGCCUAAAAAAAAUGGAAAAUUGGAUUAGAGACAUUCUCCUGGAAAAAAAAUUCUUUACAAUACAGUUAUGUCUUCAAAGUAAGUUUGUUUGUCCCUCUGAAAGAGUAUCUGAACUGUAUCACCUCACUUCUCAACUGCUGUAGGGAUAAUAAAAGUAAAAUAGCUCUUGGGAAUCUUAGGCAAAUGUACCUAUUGGUUUAGUCUAGCUUGUUUCUAAAUGAGAAAGGUUGGGCUGUCUGCAGACCAGUCCAGA